Molecule: long non-coding RNA, 19212 nt
Filed under: Setaria viridis
Lineage: Eukaryota; Viridiplantae; Streptophyta; Magnoliopsida; Poales; Poaceae
Description: long non-coding RNA (SVIR_LNC000090)
Source: RNAcentral
CGACGACGCCCCCCAUUUCGGAGCUCCUCCUCGCGAUUCCAAUCCCCGCACGUCUCCUCCGCCUCCGCCUCGCGCAGGGUUAGGGUUUGCUCUGCUCCCCAUCUUGUCGCUUUUGUUUUUUUCCUGUGAGAUUUGGUAGGGAAGGCCUGAUCUGUGUCUUCCGGUGCCUGAUUCAGCGUCUCUUGAUCGAUCUGCGCGGUUUUCUUGUGAUUUUUUUGGGGUGUUGAUUCGUUGGUGCGGGGAAUUCCACGGGCCGUGGAAUCGCGAAGGGGACGGGCGCUUCGAGGUUCGUGUGUUGAUUCGGUCUUCGGUUGGGGGUUUCUUCUGUUCAGGUUGAGUCUUUUGGGUGGGGAAAUGAAAACGCGUUCUUGUUUUUUUCUUCUUCUUAUUUUUUUUAAAAAUUGUAUGAAGGUUGUUUCUCUUGUCCAAACGAUUAGGCUUUACCUGUCUUUUUUUUGUCUGAUUUUUUAGAGUUCGUAGCGCUGCUAAAUGUUACUAGUGAUUCAAGUGUUUUAUUCCAUGGAAAUCGUGCGUAUCUAGUUGUAAGCGGUGGAUUAGUUAAAUUACUUGGCAGAUUUGGUGCAUAUUGUCCUCGAUUUGCAUCACCAUGGUUUUUUUUUACAAAGAUUGGAAUUGAUAUACCCUGAUUUGUUUAGGAAUGUCGUUUUGAUUUGUAUUACACAACGUAUUUUGUGAUAGUGGCUUCCGCGAUGCUCUCCCUAAAAAUUAGGAUCUCGUUUCAUCAAGUACAACAUCUGCAUGACUUAUAUUUGCUGAAGUGACAAAUCGUGUGGUUAUUUACAUCGAUUGUUUAAUGUGCAGCUUAUAGUAGUCAUGGAACACAAGGAGGCGGGCUGCCAGCAACCCGAGGGCCCAAUCCUAUGCAUCAACAACUGUGGCUUCUUUGGCAGUGCGGCCACCAUGAACAUGUGCUCCAAGUGCCAUAAGGAGAUGAUAAUGAAGCAGGAGCAGGCCCAGCUAGCUGCCUCCUCCAUCGAUAGCAUUGUUAAUGGUGGUGACGGUGUGAAAGGCCCUGCCAUAGCUGCAACUGCCGAGGUGGUGUUUGCUCAAGUUGAGGAGAAGGCAAUUUUUGUGCAGCCUCCAGUUGUAGCUGAAACCAGCGAGGCUGCUGCUGUAAUCCCCAAGGCCAAGGAAGGCCCGAACCGGUGCGCAACCUGUAGGAAGCGGGUUGGCCUGACGGGAUUCAACUGCCGAUGCGGUAACAUGUACUGUGCGGUGCACCGCUAUUCCGACAAACAUGACUGCCACUUUGACUAUCGGACUGCAGCUAGGGAUGCGAUUGCCAAGGCCAAUCCUGUGGUGAAGGCGGAGAAGCUCGACAAGAUCUGAGGGGUAAUGGGGAGCGGAAUUGGUUAUGAUCUGCAAGAUUCAGUCAUGCAUCUUUGCUGCUUUAUCAUUGAACUUCCCAUUCUUGUUUGCUGCCACAUCCCCGAGUUGUUCAACACUGAUGCACAUGCAUCCUGGCAGCUGCAAGAAUUCAUCCCCAGUCGAGUCCAAAAUGGUUUGCGUGUUGGCUAUGUUGUGUAAGCUUAUUCAGUUAUUCAUGGUGGUUUGGUUGGUAUUGUGGCAUUCCCAUUUAGGUAGCUCUGUAAUGUACUACUGUCUCGUGCGUGUUACAUCCCAAUCAGUAAUAGUAAUCAGCAAUGGUCUGCCAUAUUUCCUCGCAAUUUUCUGGUUCUCUUCUUUUCAUGUGCGCUUGUGAAUUUCAUUCAGAGCAAUGGGGGCAAUUGCUCAGAUGUUUGAUAUUAUCUGAAGUUUUGAUGUGUGGAGCUAUUGACCAAUCAACUGUUCUUGCUUCGUGCUCUCUGAAGUGGAAGCAAUCAGCUUCCGCUGCUUGCAUGAAGUGGGAUUGUUGUGGAUGAACACUGCAUUUUAAAAUCAUGUAGCAGCCGAGAGAGCUGUGGAUGGAGCUUUAUUGUUGGGUAUGCUGAUUCUUUAUUACAACACAGUCUAUGCAAACGCAAUUACUUGGUGCAAACACAGUCAAUUCAUCAUGAUCUAUUUUGGAAAAUCCUGUAAACAAAGGAACUUGCUUGCAUGGUUUCCACAAUUCUUAUCCUUCUCUCUUUCUAGUCUGUGCAAGUGGGGACAUGCAGCUCUCCUUUUUACAUGUGAUUGGUACGAAGCCUAAUUUGUUUUUGUAUGAUUGUCACCUGCAAAGAAUUGGAACAAGUCUAAACAACUUGUUUUUGUAUGAUUCACUUGCAAAGAAGAUAAUUCGUACGAAAAAAAUAUUCUUCUGCAUGGGGGGAAUAUUUUUGCUCCUCAAUUUGUGGGUGGGUCUCUUCAGACAUCAUGGGAACAUUGAGCAACUCUUGUGCCGGGUGUUGAGCUGCGAUGGAUUAAAGAACGCAAGCAAUGAUAUAGGUUCUGUUUGGAUCCACUAGCUAUAUUUGAGCUGGUUAAAUUUAACUGCUAUGGAUGCAAAUAUGAUCUAACUAGUUUAAUUUUUUGUAGUUGGUUGAACCCAGCUAAACCAGUAAAAGAUGAAAUUGCCUCUCAACCUUCCCCGAGAAAAGUUUUUAAAGUGGGAGGGAGGGAUACUAUAGACGAAUACCUCUUCUAUAUAGACGAAUACCUCUUCUAGCUAGUGGAUCCAAACACCUUUAACUAAAGUAGCUAAAAGAAAGUUUCUAGAGUUUAGUUAGGUGGAUCCUAACAGGGCUAGGACCAUAGAAGCCUGAUCGCCUUGAGAUUCCUUGUUUGUUUAUGGGAGAAUGGAUAGGAUCUCAGCUUUGUCGUCCUCCCAUCCCAGUAGCUGGAGAUGUAUUUUAUGGCACUAGCUGUUGCUACCUGCUCUGAUCAGUUUACUAUAAAACUGCCAUUAUAUUGUAGAGUAUGUAACAGCCUGAAGAAAACAUUUGCAGAGCUCAGCAGCAACCAUGGGGAUUACCUAGUUGCAAAUAAGACACCCAAUGGCACUUCUUUUUUACCCAGCCAGAACUGAGCAACCCGGAUUCAGGGCAAAGAGCAGAUCACUUCAGGACGAAACAUUUAGCAACACCUUCAGUUACCGAGAUACAUAAGGUGAACAAACUCAUCAGCGGUGUCUUCAGCUGCGAAAAAUUCACAUAAUCUCAAGUAACUUUCUCACUCAAGAAAGGACCGAAGAAGCGCUGUGUGGAUUGCUCGGUAUUGCAGUAAGUGAAUGUAUAUGAGAGGGAUACACAUGAAACAGCUCAUUUCCUCUUUAAUUGUCUGUUCUAAACUACAGUGUAUGAGAAGAAAGAGGCCGUGCAUUAUUCUGUAUUUUUUCUACUCCAAGUGUAAAUUUGGGGACUCAGCCCCCAAUGUUGAAGUAAACCGUAUAGAAUUCGUCCCUCAAGCUGUACAGUGGCUCCAGGAUGAAGUUCCUCCUCACUCCCUUUGCGAUAAAGCUGAUUGGAUGGUACUGCCUCAGUGGGGCAGUCUGCACAAAGCUCGCCGCCUGCUCGAGUAUCCCACCAAUGCUCUGAAGAGAGCUCUUGCAGCUGACCUGAAUCUUAGUCUCUGCAGAGUAAUCCACGCCUGUCACCAAGAAGCACCCUGGUUUGGUCCCGAGCUCGAGGGAAACUGAAUUAGGAUUUCCAUCGAGCCCGGGUAUUAUGUUGAAGAGGGAAUCUGAACCCUUCUGCGCGGAUAGGGUGAGGUUGUUGGUGAUCACAGUUCCUGGCAAGUCAAAUGGCUCGAUCAGCACGGAAGCUCCCUUCAUGGUUGUGCUGUAUGUGUCAUGCAGCUCCGUUGAGUCCUGAGGGUGUGCCCUGAAUGUUGCGUGGAUGGCGAUGUCGGUGCCGUCAACUUCAGGUCGCUCUUGCAUUGUUAGGGAGCCAUUUGCGCUUGAGAGGACAAAUGUUUUUCCAUUGGAUACUUGUGUGAAGGUUGCCAGCUGUGAGUUGUACACUGAAGGAACAGUGGUGAUCCAAUCUGAAAUUGUACUGCUAUUGCCAACUUUUGCAUCCCAGUCACCAGUGGAUAGGCCAGCAAGAACAAAUGGCCCAAAUAGGAUGGCUUGAAGGGAUGCAUACUCCGGCCUGUCAUCUGAACAGAUAGCUAGCAAUUAAUAUUGGAUCAAGUUCCUCAAAAAUAUUUGGAUCAAGAUUCUCUCUGUACAAAAAUCUGAAUAUUAUCACACAUCGUAGCAAAAUCCGUUAUUUCUACUAGCGCCCCUAUGUUUUUGUAGUAUAAGUGUACAACCACUGGUUAUCAUGGUGGUAUAUCAGUGUGCGAGCCAAGUAAAGUCAGCCAAUUUGUUCUUCAAUCUUAAAUUAGUCAACAGUGGAAGUAUCAUGAGUUACCUUUAAUUGCUUCAGUUCUUAACCUGAUGGGAAAGCGUAGUGAUAAGUGAUCCUCUGAGUUCCAUUGUUUGGUGACUGAGAGGAAAGAUCCUGCCCAUAAAAUAACAUAAGGUAAUGAACUGGGCUUCAAAAAUCGAUGAUAAUUUGAAUAUUGAACAGAAUGGAAUGAUUUUACCUGGAGAUAAUGACCCCAAAUCUUUGCCAUUUAGAUUUGCUCCUGCACCAUCAGCAAAUGUCCAUGAUGGAAUUCUAACAUUCAAUUUGGCAGACUGACUUGUCGUCUGAACAAAUAGCAAACAAAUGAGCUGAGUGAAGAUGUUUUUUAUCUGAAUUCAACGUAUAAAGAAUUGAAAAUAAUUACCUCUGCAGAAAUGGAGAGUGAAAUUUGAAGAUACAGGUCAGAAGAACUGAGGGUUUUGAUUUGCUGAGUAACAGUGAGCCCAGCUGCUUUCCAGUUGAAAGUGCUUGGUAUGUACUGAAUGAUGUUGAGUGCAGGUGUAUCUUCUUUCUCCUCAAAGUAAAUAGAAUCGCCAAGUUUUGAAAAGGAUUCUAUACCUGCACAUGGAAAUCAUUAUAUUUUGAAAUAAACAACUUGCUCGAGAAUAAAUGCGACCCCAACGUUCACAGCUUGAGGCAAUAAAGCAGAAAGGUUAAAAAUGAAGGGGCUAGACACUGCCUUUAGCUUAUGGAAUCAAAAUUGGAUAGAAACAGUUGGUUGAAAUCAAGCAGAAUAUUCACAUCAAGGCAAUAAAUAGAUGUUGCAAUUUUUGUAUUACCUGUCCCAUAACAACACCAGAAAGAAUCGUACUUUGUUCCCCAACCAUGAUAACUCACAGCCUUAGAGUGUCCAGGGGCCUGGGGUAGCAUGUAAAUCAUCACACCAGGAUCUGUCCCCCUUUGAAUGCUUAAAACACCAUUUAUCAGUGCUCUUUCAUAGUAAUCUGCAUAUGAUAUUUCCUUUGUCCAUCGGAAUAGGUUGCGAGAUAUCUGGAUAUGACACAGGUUUACAUAUGACACAUUUCUAAACAAGAAAACAAUUUUUUAGUAUGGUUUCACAACCUUAAGCAUGUUGUAAGUGGUGCAAGAUUCCUCAUUCUCAGUACUCAGAGUCUCAGCUAAAUGUUUUGGGUCAGUCCUGAAAAACAAUUAAGAGAAUCAGUUCCUUGCCAAAUAUAACUUUCGAUAUACUAUGGAAGUAUUGAUGCCAUUAAUCAAGCAUCUACAAGCUAUAUUACCAGAAUUCACCAGCAGAUGUGCCACCAGUCGCGUAGCUAUGAGAUGAAUUUAUUGUAUCCAUAAAGAAUGUGGCAAUUUGCUGUUUCAAAAAUGAGGCUUAUGGUCAACUUCACUCAAAUGGUGGAGAACAAAUGAUAAAAAGAAGACAGAAGAUGGUACUACUUCAGACACAGAGACGCAGAUACUCAUAGGCAAAAGGCUAAAAUGGAUGUAAAGGAAAGAAACAUAUAAAUCCAAAGAGCUGUGCUAAACACGCAUAAUGUCAGCAUAUUUCAAAAAAUUGAAAACAGUUUAUCUUAAUCCAUUCGGAAUUUUAGUAAUAACAGCAAGAGUCAUACAUAUCUUAAUUUUUAUUAACCCAUUUUUCCUCUUCUGAACAGUAGUCAGUGUCUUUAUGUAAACUGAUAACAGCAUGCACUUUAUGUCCGCAUCCCCUAACAGAUUCCUCACUGUCUAUGAAAAUGGAAUACUUCAACUCUGUAGUAAUAAAUUUCGCAGUGAACUUUACCUUGUAAAGAGGAUCUCCGGUAACUUCAUACCUCAUCUGUGCACCAAUGACAACUGGAAUGUGUGUAUUGGAAUGGAAGCCUGAAAUGCUGUCAGCCUGAAAUGAAACAAAUACACAAACAACGCUAUCACUAAACGAAAAAUCCCUCGAGAGGAACAGUAAUUCUAGUCCAUCGAUUGAGUCCUGUACUAGGAACCCAAGUUCAAUUUCCAUGAAAGUGUACACUUUACAUGGUAAUACCAGUUCAGUAGUGGCAUAAUUAAAAUCUGUUCGAUAUAUAGACAUGUAGUGACCACUGGAUGAUAAGCAAAUUGAACUGAAGUUAGUAAUCACAAUUCUUAACAUAGUUAAAACUGAAACUGGUUAAGUUCUAUUUCAGUCAUUUAUUGUAAUGUAAACAUAAUCCUAGCUAUCACCAAAUAGCUGAAGAUUCACAACUAGCAAACCAAAUCAGUGUUUCAGCACACCUGAACUGCAAGCAGCCCAAGAAAGCAUGGCUUAUCGAAGAGAUGGGCCAGUGUCAAAUGCUUCAGAUCAUUCUGCCCAAUUAAGAGAAAGUCAGCAUAUCAGCUAGAUAUAACUGUAUUAAUCGAUGCUACACUUGUAACAAACGGCAAAUCACCGUUAUUGUGUAGAGCUGAUAGAGCACAUCAUUCAUCCCACCAGUUUCCUCAUUGAGAGACUCCCAGUGCCUCUCAAUGCUGUAUUUCUGUAUGACAUUCUUCACCCGAUCACUGAAAUAAUUAGCCAUCUUUACCACCAUGUCAAGAGCCUUGGAAUUCCCAGCCACCGUGUACUGAUCAAGAAGGCCUUGCAUAAUCUGUAAACCAAAAAUUAGACCCACUCAAAUUGGUGAUGAUCAUUCAUUCAUUGCACAAUCUGUAAACCAAAAAUUACACCCACUCAAAUUGGUGGUGAUCAUUCAUUCAUUCACAUAUUUAUCAUGAAGUAGAAACUGAAAACCCCCAUGAACCUUGUGGAUUGUGUAGUAAGGGGCCCAGACAGGCCUGAUGGCCUCAACCCAAUCGAAGAAUUCCGACGGGAAGGCCGACAGGUACCCUGUGCCCAUCUUCUUCUGACAAUCAUAGAGCGCGUCGACGACAGACGACAUUUUCACAUUAAGAGUAUCAUUGUGUGUGCUAGCCCACAUCUUUGCAGUAGCACUCAGGUAAUGCCCUGAAAAGAACAACGGCAGGACGCUGAAAUUCAGCCUAGCUGCGAAAUUGUAGUGGGUAAAUGCUACAGAAUCGAAAUCAAACUGAGAUGCGGUGGCGCACCAACAAAGUGACCCCGGAGCUGGACGUUAGGGCCCUCCCACCCGCCAUAGGGCGUUCCCGGCGCCGUCAGGCCGGCUUGCUUGCGGAAGCUCCAGACGAGGCGGUCGACGUCCAGGAGGAGCAGGUACUCCAGAUUGGUCUGCUGUGCUUGCCAGUACGGGCUGCCCGGCUCAAGCCGCACGUCGUGCAGGGAGGCCUCGGAGAGGAACGCCCCGGCCGCAACCCCGGGCCGCGGCGCGCCGGCGGUGGCGCCCCGGAGCUUGCGGUAGAGCAUGAGCCAGUCGAACGCCUCCUCGCGCCGCAGAGCCCGCCGUGGCAUGAGCGACAUCCAGGCGGACUCGUCGGUGGGGGUGAGGUGCUGCUCGUGGCCAUGCUCAUGGGUGUGGCGACCGUGGUGGCUGCGCUCGGGCACCGGCGCCCGCGGCGCGGACCGCAGCUGCGUCGCCGCGCGCUCCGUGUGCGACGUCAGCCCCGGGAACGCGUUGGUGCACGACUUACCCUCCGCGCCGUGCCAGCCGGCUGCGGCGGCUAAGAUCACCACGGCCCCCAGCGCCGCCGCCGCCGGCAUGCCCGGCCCUCUCGCCAUAACCAACCCCCCUUUCUUGGCAAGAACCACUCGUUACCCUGUCCUCAGUUGACCGACACACACCGCAUAAGCGAAAGCCUCCAAAAACCCAAACCUGUAACCUGUGAGAAGGGCGAGGAGGAUAAGAUUAAGCAUCACGAAAUGGUGACAGCGCAUCAAACUACCAGUGAUUCAACCAAGAAUUGCGCGGAAAGCAAUUCAUACGAGGGGAACAAAGAUCGGAGGGAGGAUUGAAGAAGACGACCUCGACUCACUUCACUGGAGUGAGACUGUGACAGUGAUGUUUACUGUUUCCGUCUCGAGAGGAAGGAGGAGAAAUUGCUCCUUUUUCGCCGGGGACGGAUCAACGGAAUAGGGGUGGGCGACAAAUGCGCAUCGGGAGAGCGACGGUUUAUAUCAGAGGAUUCUUGGACCCCAAGAGCCGCAAGGCGACGCCAUCAUCACCCAUCCAUCAUCUACCGGUUCGUCCCAAUCCACCAUGGCCGUCGCCCGCCGCUUGCUUGCACGCCACCGCCGGCCCGCCGCACGGCAGCAAGUGGCGCAUCGGCAUCACGUCGGAGAGGUAAAAGCUUCUCUGCCCUUUUCAGACCCAAGGGCAGAGACGGCAACUUGGCAGCGGAGCUCGCAACCGAAACCGGAGAGCGGAUGCGUCAGGGUAAAACCUACCCUGUUGGUGGAUGGAUCACCGGAUUGAGCUGAACUUGCAACUGAACACUCUCGGAGAUUCCCUGAUCUUGUCAUGCUUCUGCCGUUUGCAGGACACGGCAUUGCAUGGCAUCUAACCGAUCCUGUGUUCCGGCUCAGCCUCAUCUGUUCGAUGUGCAGAGGCCGAUGCAGCAGACCCCAGAGGCGUGCUGCGUGCAUAUCCAUCGAUUGAUAGAUCCAUUUCCUUCUGACAAUAGAAUCAUCGUGCGCAUAGACCACACCUGCAUGCCAAGACAAUGUCACAUGGAUGAAUAGGAUGCGAAGUGAUCGAUUGUUGUGUCAGUUUCAGAAGGCCGAGUGGCAGCAUGUUGUCGGUCAUGUUCUAUACUACCUCUGAUGGGCCUUGAGGCGAGAGCAAUAUCUCCGCCCUCCCAAGAACAGAGGAUGCCCAAGCUCUUCUGAAUACCACCAAACAAGCUCCCUUAGGAUCCAUGCUGAAAUCGCACAAGAUAUACCAAACAAAAUGUGUUCAAGCUCUUCUUAAAACAUAAAAUGAAAAUCAAAAGAUUUUUGGGCGAGAAUGGGAACAACGGUAAUCAUCCUUGAAGUCGACCCAAACUUUUGACUAGUUUCCAACCCCAAUCAUUGCCGAUCCAGGCCCAAAUCUAGCCCACCUCAGGCACCCGCAAUGGUUAAAGAGGGUUUGCUCUCUGUUACUUGUCUACCAGCCCUGUUUGGAUAUCAUAUGCUAAAUUUUAGUACAGUGUUAAAUUUUAGCACCCUCAAAUAAAAGGUUAAAGUUUAGCACCUUGGGGUGUUUGGAAAGGAGGCUAAACUUUAACACCUGGGUUGACAAAAGACUCAUUUAUCCCCACUUUCUUCCUUUCUUUCUCCUCUCUCUCCUCCUCUUCUCUCGCUCUUCUCCCCACCUUCCCCAGCCGCACCGGCCUCCGUGCCCCUAGCUGCCCUCCCUCCCCCGCUGGGAGGUGGCGGCCGCGCGGCCAAGCUCCUCUCCCUCCCUGCGCCAGCAAAAUCACCUCCGGGCGUCGCUCCUCACCCUCCUCCCCCGGGUCAGAGCCACCGCCGCGCGGCAAGGACUCCUCCUCCACCGGUCCCGCCCCGCUCCCGACGGCAGAGAGGUGCUCCCUCGUCGCGCAGCGCCGACUCCCUCGUCGCGCGCCUUGCUGACGGGGAGGACGGGCCGGCCGUGGCCCUGCACCGAGAGAGGGGGGUGCGGAGGCGGCAUGGCCGGCGGAGGCAGCGGGGGCGGCGGAGGCGGCGUGGCCGGGUGGAGGAGGCGUCGCCGGCAAAUGCGGUGGGGCCGGGCGGAGGAGGCGUGGCCGGCGGAGGUAGCGAGGCCGGCGGAGGAGGCUUGGCCGGCCGAAGGAGGAGAGAGAGGGGGGUGGGGGGCAACCAGGGAAAUUUUAGAUAGGGGACCACUUUUAGCACCUAUUUGAUGUGCUAAAAAAAGUGGGGUGCUAAACUUUAGAACACCACUUUUAGCACACCUGUUUGGGAGCUCUAGUGCUAAAAGGGUGCUAAAAGUGAGGUGCUAAAGUUUAGCACCCCUCUUCCAAACAGGGCCAUAAUAUUUAUAGAUCCAUCACUUAGCGGAUUAUCUGUAGUAUUUAUUGCUAAGUUUCGUGGGUCGUAUAGUAUUUUUUUAGUCCUCCUACUCUUCUCUCUCUCCUCCUUCCCCAUCCCCCACACCGACAACUGCUUUUCCGGCUGACCUUGUGAUGAGAACAUUACCUGCUCGGAUACAACCAUAUUAGCAACUUUUGAUUCACAGGUAAAAUAAUUCUUUGAAAAUUCAUUUGAUGAAUUGAUGCUACACCAUGAUGUGUGUUUAUUGUCAUUUGAUACGUACGUGGAUCAAAACGAGUGUUAAACACACAUCGAAGGCAUGGAGGACCAAAGAAGUUGAUUAGAUUCCAAGUCCAAGUAUUCCCAACGUCCUCCACUAGGCCACCACGUCACUUUUCGCCCAAGAAAAGAAAGAGAUCAAAUUCAACACGUUUUGGGGCUGAAUUCAGACUACAAGCACUGCGCCAAAUUGCAACGGCCGACACGACCUCAUCCAAGCUCCGUUUUGGGCGUUCAAGUACUCCUUGGAAUUCUUAUGAAGUCUAUUUUCAUAUGGAUCUAGACUCAUGUUUAUAUAUUUUCUGAGGCGGUCGCAAUGAUCAAAUUACUACCGAGAGAUUUUUCUGUCAAAGGUGCUGCGUUGCCUUAUUUUGGUCCAAUGGGCCUUGUAUCAAUUCGGGUCCAAUAAGGACGUGUCCUAGGGUUGGAGCACGACACCAGGACCCCUAUGGUCGUCCUCCUAGGUAUAAAUAAGGUUUAGAGCCACCACAAACAGAUUGAGUUUUGUUUAGAUGUAAGUUUAGCCAUUGCUACUUCCUUGUAGACGCGUGUGUCGACUAGACCAUCCGUUCUACUUGAUUCAGAAUCCCAAAUUUGUAAUUUUAGAUUGGUUUUCAUCUCCAUAUUUGCAAUUGAGUUGCUUGUUCUACUUAUUCUUACUUAUUCCUCGAUUGCUUGCAGGAAUUACCCUAGUGGUUUGAUUGAUCGUGCUCCACGAGAUCGCGGCGACCAUUGAAGAUGGUGUAUCGGUUGCUAAGACGCAGCAUCCUUGGAUGGUUGUAGUCGGGGCUGUGAACGUCACCGCGCGCUCGAGCCGGCGGAGUGGCGGAGCCACGAUAGCUCGACGGCCCCAGCUGCGCCCCAUCCACCUCCUGCACGGCGGCAUGACCAUGCUCCGUCACAUCCUGCACCGACCACCACGCAGCCACGCUCCUCCCUGCUUGCGCCACCUCGUGCUGGAGCUACCGUCGCCACACCGGGCGCGCUCCGCCCGCCCCCGCACCGCUGCUGCGGUCUUCUGCCCCUCUGCCGAGCUCCACGCUCGUAGCGUGCCUUGCUUGGUCUCGCUCCACACCGACACCGGGCCCAGCAUAUCCGGCCACCACAUACGCGUACCCAUUGCUAGGCCCCUGACACCCGCACCGCUGUGCUCUUCCUGCUCCCUAGGCCCCACACAUCAGUCUCCGAGCAUCUGCUGCCGAAUCAGAUCUGAGAGCGAGCAGAGGGGAUGCGAGCGGCCGACCGGGGCGGCGGGACAGCGAGCGCAACGAGCUGUUGCAGGCGAGUGGUGAUGUAGAUGGGAUGCAAGGUAAAUCCACCAAUUUGCACAGGUUAGGGUCUGUUUGGGAAGGGGGUGUUAAAGUUUAACACCCCACUUUUAACACUUUUUAACACUUUUUUAUCCAAACACUUGUGUUAAAAGUGAGGUGUUAAAGUUUAACAGCCCAUUUUUCAUAAACACAUGGAUGAGGUGUUAAAACUUGCUAAAGGUGUUAAAAGUGGUCCCCCUCUCUACUUUUUCCCAGGUUACCCCUUCUCUCGCCUCCCUCUCUCUCCGCCGGCCAUAAAUGAGGGGGCAAUGGAGUCAUUUCUCACCAAAGGUGUUAAAGUUUAACACAUCAUCCAAACACCCCAAUGUGUUAAACUUUAGCACUCUAUUUGAGAGUGUUAAAACUUUAACACUUGUUGAAUUUUAACAUAGGGUAUCCAAACAGGCCCUUAAUCUCUGCACCUACCAGAUGCAAAUUUGCCAAAUGUAAUCUCUGCACCUCACGAGCUUGAUUGGGCUGGCUCGAGCCUGGCUCGUGAGCCUAGCUAAGGUCCUGUUUGGCAACACACUCCUAAACUUUAGUACCUGUCACAUCGAAUGUUUGAUACUAAUUAGGAGUAUUAAAUAUAGUCUAAUUAUAAAACUAAUUGCAUAGAUAGAGUCUAAUUCGCGAGACGAAUCUAUUAAGCCUAAUUAGUCCAUGAUUUGAGAAUGUGGUGCUACAGUAACUAUUUGCUAAUGAUGGAUUAAUUAGGCUUAAUAGAUUCAUCUCGUGAAUUAGUAUAGAAUUUCUGUAGUUAGUUUUAUAAUUAGCUCAUAUUUAGUUCUCCUAAUUAGCGUCCGAACAUCCGAUAUGACACUCCUAGUUUAGGAACACCCCGUGAGGCAGACCAGGCUGCCAAACGCCCCCAAAGCGAAGCCACGGCCCACGGCCCCGUCGGCCGUCCGCCACCGUUUUUUUUCCCUCUUCUUCUUCGGUGCAACUCCUACCAGACCGUGCAGCCCCACGCGAUCCAGCUACCACCCGUGGCCGCGCUCGCCGCCUUCCUCGCGCCGCCGCGGAUCCACAAAGGUAUUCUUGGCGUGGUGCUUUCGCUCGUGUCGCGCGCCCCUGGUCCUGUCGCGGCACCCGGCGUGGAUCUUGGCCUGGAUUGUCCCGAUACUCCGCAGCAAAAGCAAGGGUUCCGAGGUGGUUUCGCGGUUUCCUGGCGUCUCCUCUUGCUCGCCGGUUCGUCCCAAGGUGCGGCCUUCUGAAUUCCUCGUACUUCCAAAAUCGAUGUGAUAUGUUCUGUGCGCGCUGGGAGGAGUGCAUCUGAGCACCUGCAUUGCAUCUUCAGGACGCUUGUUAGUGAGCUUAAUUGGAUUUGUUCUAGAUCUACCGCAAUUAUAUGCGUUCAUCCGUGGAAAAAAAUGUUGUUUUCGUUUCCCUGGAUGUCUAGCCUGUGGCUGCUAUACUUGUAUGCGAUGAAAUGAUGCUACAUUAUCCUGAAUUGCUGGCAGGGCACGUGUUAAUUUUUUGUUGCAGGCAUAUCUUGGUGCCCGUGAUUUAAGUGGUACAAUUAAGGCCAGAAGAAUCAGCUUUAUUCAACCAGUGUUUGGAUAUGGUAUCAGCUAACCUUGGGUUGGCACAUUAUGUACUGGAACUCUUCUUCAUCGCACCAAGUUAGGAACACCAUUUUUCUCAAAAGGAUGGGGAGGUACCAAACUUGAUUUGCUAGAGAGCAUGGUGAAGCAGCUGUUCCCUGAAGCACAUUGCCAAAACUGGCCACCAACUGCUGUGCAGCCAAUGUGGAAAACAAUUUGGGAGACAAACAGUUCUUGUCUGCGAGAGGGUGUUUUCAGGACUAAAUGUGAUGAGAGACUAGUCGAUGCAUUGCCCCCUGAAAAUCACAAUGCAGGAGUUGCUUUUCUUACUCCUAAAAACAUUACACCAGAGAAGAUGUCAUGCAUGGUCCAUCUUGCAGGUACAUGAUUUUGUGGUUUCAUUAUAUUUGUUCCCUAAUGCACUGCAUAGAUUAGGAAAACCAUUUUCUGAUAUGAAUGUUUAGCUUGUAUGCAUUUUAAUCAGUUUCUGUUGUCUGGUAGAACGGAUUAUGAACGUAUUAGUCUGCUGGCUUUCUAGCGCUGCCAAGUUUAACAUUCCUCUUUUGACAGCUUCCCUAUCUUUUUUUGAAGAUAAAAAACUUUCCUCACUGCCAAGUGCUAAAAUUGAAUAAGGACUAGUCUCCUUUUACUGUUAGUUUCAUAUUGAUUGAUGAAUAUUGUCACAAAAUUGUUCAUAGUAAAAAAAAACUGCUCCACUCUUUUUCCUAUAAAAAUAUGUCUCCGCUCUCAUCUAAUGAAUCUAAAUUUUCUGUAAUAAUAUAGGCACUGGUGAUCACACAUUUGAACGCAGGCUUUGGCUCGGUGGGCCUCUUUUGAAGAACAAUAUUGCAAAUAUGGUUCUUGAGAGGUGAGAGUUACUUGCAUUCUUUGUUAAAAUAUUUUCUCCACAAUUCACCAAGAUCUGAUCCAUUGAACCACAGCCCCUAUUAUGGACAGUGACGUCCUAGCAUGCAGGGUGGUGCAAAGCUUCAGUGUGUGAGUGGCUUGUUACUUUUAGGGAAAGCCACAAUUGAUGAAGCUCGCAGUCUCCUGUACUCGCUGCAGGCUGAGGCUGGUUACGGCAAGAUGGGCAUAUGUGGGCUCAGCAUUGGUAUGUUAACACUGGUUUUGCUCAUGAAUGAAUAUAGCUAGUCUUAAAAAUAAUGUAGCAGCCUAUUUGUCAAACCCAUCUGAUUCUUAUAAUUUUCUGGUUAUAUUUACAAGGUUCCUUUGACAUUCUUCUCAAAAAAUAAUUCUUUGCUGAUGACACAGGUGGUGUCCAUGCCGUGCGUGAUGGGGGGAUCCCUUCAUCCUACACCAAUUGCUACACCGCCAUUUCUCACUUCGCACUCUGCCGUGGUACCUUUCUGUGAACGGGUCUACAAAUAUGCCACAGCUUGAGAUGUGUUGAGAGAAGAUGCAGCAGCAUUAACUCAAGAUGUAACAUCUUUGACAGAAGAUGCAGCACAGAAAACUGGGGUCACUAUUGAGGAAGUCAUAGAUAGGUUGCGGUCAGUGUUGUCUUUGACUGAGGUCACUCGAUUUCCAGUCCCAAAGAACCCGCAGACUGUCAUCUUUGUUGGUGCAACGGUUAGUGUUUUUUUUUAACCUUUUAACAUCAAUUUAUAAUCUCUGAAAACAUGAUCUCCCCCUCCUCCCCCCCCCCCCCCCCCCCCCCCCCCCCCCCCCCCGAGCCUUUUACUUUGUUUCACGAUUCUGAUAGGUUAACAACGAUCAGAGUAUAUCACUAGUAGACUGGCUAUUUUACUACUAUUACAGUAGGACUUCAGAGUUAAGUCAAAUUGUAUCUUUCACCUGCACUGUUUACAACAAGUUCUUUUUGAGACCACACUGUUUGCAGCAAGUUACCGUAGCACUCCAGCAAUGUUCAGAAAUUGAAACUUACAUUGAUAGCAGAUAGUUUACUCAAGCACUCUUAUCUUCUCAUGUUCAGCAAUGUCUCCUUAUUUCAGACAGAGAUUGCUUACUCGAGUAUUCGUUUUCAGCUGGAGCUUUCUUCUAAUCUGAAGCUAUGUUCCCUUUACAGGAUGAUGGUUAUAUUCCCAUAAUCCCAUACAUUCAGUCAUGAAGCUCCAGAAGGCAUGGCUGGGCUCAGAAGUCCGGUGGGUAACGGGAGGCCAUGUUUCGUCCUUUUUCCUCCACAAUGACGCAUUCCGCAAAGCCAUCGUCGUCGCCCUUGACAGAUUGUAACGUCUAACAAGCUCGAGCCAACAAAAGACCCAUCUUUUUUUUUUUUCAACUCGACCUAACCAUUGAUCAGGUCUAUUAUCACCCUAACAAAAUUCUUGCAAUAUUAUCACCCUAUCAAAAUUCUUGCAAAAUCAAACAACACACACCCUAACUUGUACGAGAACCGGUCAAUUUCUUAGGUGAUUUAACACACUUGGUUAUACUGCAUGCCCACUUAAGAUCAAACUUAGGUCUUACAUCAUGUAUUUCUUAUUAAUACGUUUGUUUUGUUGACUAAUAGGCGAUGCGUUUGUUGAAUCUGCGCAUUUGCAGUGGCUUCGUUAAUCUCAAGAUACGUUUGCUCUUAUGCAUUUACAGGAUGUCAAGGCAUCCUCAGGGCUCGUAGAGUGGAGGAAAAAAAACCGCUUAAGAAAAGUUUCCAUGUUUCACAUGAAAAAUUUAUGAGCUUUAGGUGCAGAUGCCAAAUAGCAAGAAAUGAAAAAUAAAAGAAUUAGAUGAAACAUAUCGUAACCUAGAAACAAUGUCGUAACUCGAUAUCUCGAGCUUAUCGAUCUUUCUCUAAAUAAACUAGCUCUAACACCACUAGUCGAAUCCAGAUCAUACCAGUAUCUUACACAAGUAACUUCAUUUUCUAUGCACCUUUGCAUGGACGCAUGCUCCCACGCGGUGAUGCCGCCAUUACCUAACGUUUAAACUCCCUUUCAAAAGGGCAAAAAAUCGUGGCCUACGCAUGGGGCGGGCAGAGAACCGUGCUGCAACCGGCUGCCUACCAUCACCAUCUGCUUCUCUUUCCUCUCUCUUUCACAAGGCAAUACGUGCUGAGGCAUUAUCUCUCCGCUUUUGCGUAGGAACCCUUUUGAUCUUGAGAAAUUGCCUAAUUGUUCACAUUCCAUUCCAAGACGACUUCAAGGUGGUAAAGUGGCAGCAUGAUCUUAAAGCUCAUAACUGAGACGAUAAAUUUUUUAAGAUAAUCUACACAAUAUAAGAUUAUACGGUACAAAUACUACCAAAUACUAGCUCUUUAGAAGGUUUUUAUUACUUCAUGUAUCAAGUAUCAUGUAUCAAAGGUAGAUUGCUGACCGCGAAUACCACGCGGUAAGGUUUUUAUUACUUCGAUGUUCUCUUGAAGGAACUAACUUAUUUAUGGUUGAUGUGCAGGCUCGCUCUACAAUAACGUUACAAUCCAGUGCCAUUUGCGUUUUACACGCAUCAUAAUGUAUCUUUUGAUAUGCAAGAACUUAAAGGAUAAUUGCAAUAAACAUUCUAUUAAGUGAAAAACACCAAUUUUUUUAAAAGAAAAUGAAUAACUAUCAUGUAAUAUAUAUUUGAGGGGAAAAAAUUGUAGUUAUAACAUUCUAAAAGUUGAUGCACUUAUUACUGUUGUGUUUGCAUAUGUUAUCACAGCUAUGAUAGCUAGAUUCAAAACGAUACUCCCUCCAUCCUAAAUUGUAGAUCAUUGCUAUGCACUUAGGUAUGGUACAUAUUUAGAUAUACAACAAAAAUUAUGUACUUAAAAAAACUAAAAUGACCUACAAGAAAGAAAACGGGAGACUAACAUAAGAGCAUCUCCAGCAGACCCCCAAUAAAUAUUUUCCAAUGCCUAGUUAACAAGGAUAUCCUAAAAUCAUUUUCAUCGUUAUUGGGAGAAUUGUUUUUGCUGUCUCCCAAUAAUCUCAUCCCAAUCCAACUACCGUAUUGGAAGAGUCACAACUCCGCUUUUAUUUAGGGAAAGUUAGGGUGAAUUAUUGGAUUGUCCCAAUAAUUAUUCGGAAAAAGGAAAAGUAAAGGGAGACUGCUGGAGCACUAGUUUUUUACUAACACUUCCGGUACGAAAAAGACCGGUAUUGCAUUCUAGCAGCCAUGGUGUACCGACAUGCUAUAAAAAAGUAUUUUUGGCAUAUUGUUACACGGUAGAAGCUUGUGAACCCAUCAAGUCAUGUAGGACAGUUAUUCAAAUUUCUACCGAUGCCAAAUUUUGCCUUAUAAAAAGAUAGAAACCGGCUUUUUAAAAAAAUAUAGAAACCGAUUACUCCAAUAUUCAAAGUUCACACCAUUUAUAGGAGAAGAAAAAGGACGCUACGCGGCUCCUUCUUCCCCAUCAAGAAAGAAAAAGAUCUCCCCCUCCAAAAUUAUAUAAACCCGCAACCAGCAGGGACCUCACUGAAAAUCCACGGCCGCAUCCAUCCCAUCCGUCCAUCAGCUCACGCCACCGCGAUCGGACGGCGCCUCCCCCACCUCAGCCAGACCACUCCACGCCACCAACCGCAAAUAAUUCGAAAUGGUAGGGGCAAGGAGGUAACUUCCCGUCGCCUCCGCCUUUUUUAUCUGGCUCCCCCACCUUCCUUCCCCUGGCCCAACGACGCCCCCAUUUCGGAGCUCCUCGCGAUUCCAAUCCCCGCACGCCUCCUCCGCCUCCGCGGCCGGCUCGCGCAGGGUUAGGGUUUGCUCUGCUCCCCAUCUCGCCCUGUGCUGUUUUUCUUUCCUGUGAGAUUUGGUAGGGAAGGCUUGAUCUGUUUCUUCCGGGGCCUGAUUCGGCGUCCCUUGAUCGUUCUGCGCGUUUUUCUUGUGAUUUUUUGGGGUGUCGAUUCGUUGGUGCGGGGGAUUCCACGGGCCGUGGAAUCGCGAAGGGAACGGGCGCUUCUUGAUUCGGUCUUCGAUUGGUGGUUUCUUCUGUUCAGGUGGAAGUCCUUUUGGGUGGGGAAAUGAAAACGCGUUCUUGUUUUUUUUUCUUAUUAUUUUUUUAAAUAAAAAUUGUAUGAAGGUUGUUUCACUUGGCCAAAUGAUUAGGCUUUACCUGUCUUUUUUUGUCUGAUUUUUUAAAGUUCGUAGCGCUGCUAAAUGUUACUAGUGAUUCAAGUAAUUUUUUCCGUGGAAAUCGUGCGUAUUUAGUUGCAAGCUGUGGAUUAGUUAAAUUACUUGGCAGAUUUGGUUUAUACUGUCCUCGAUUUACAUCACCAUGGUUUUUUUACAGAGAUUUGAAUUGAUAUACCCUAAUUCGUUUAGGAAUACCGUUUUGAUUUGUAUUACACAGCGUGUUUUGUGAUAGUGACUUCCGCGAUGCUCUCCCUAAAUAUUAGGAUCUUGUUUUGUGAUAUUUGCUGAAGUGACAAAUCGUGUGGUUAUUUACAUCGAUUGUUUAAUGUGCAGCUUAUAGUAGUCAUGGAACACAAGGAGGCGGGCUGCCAGCAACCCGAGGGCCCAAUCCUAUGCAUCAACAACUGUGGCUUCUUUGGCAGUGCGGCCACCAUGAACAUGUGCUCCAAGUGCCACAAGGAGAUGAUAAUGAAGCAGGAGCAGGCCCAGCUAGCUGCCUCCUCCAUCGAUAGCAUUGUUAACGGUGGUGAUGGUGGGAAAGGGCCUGUCAUAGCUGCAACCGCCGCGGUGGCGGUUGCUCAAGUUGAGGAGAAGGCAAUUGUUGUGCAGCCUCCACUUGUAGCUGAAACCAGUGAGGCUGCUGCUGUAAUCCCCAAGGCCAAGGAAGGCCCGAACCGGUGCGCAACCUGUAGGAAGCGGGUUGGCCUGACGGGAUUCAACUGCCGAUGCGGUAACAUGUACUGUGCGGUGCACCGUUACUCCGACAAACAUGAAUGCCACUUUGACUAUCGGACUGCAGCUAGGGAUGCGAUUGCCAAGGCCAAUCCUGUGGUGAAGGCGGAGAAGCUCGACAAGAUCUGAGAGGGGCAAUGGGGAGGGGGAUGGGUUGUGAUCUGCAAGAUUCAAUCAUGCAUCUUUGC